GACGAACGCUGGCGGCGUGCCUAAUACAUGCAAGUCGAGCGAAUCAAUGGGAGCUUGCUCCCUGAGAUUAGCGGCGGACGGGUGAGUAACACGUGGGUAACCUGCCUGUAAGACUGGGAUAACUUCGGGAAACCGGAGCUAAUACCGGAUACGUUCUUUUGUCGCAUGAGAAGAGAUGGAAAGAUGGUUCUGCUAUCCCUUACAGAUGGACCCGCGGCGCAUUAGCUAGUUGGUGAGGUAACGGCUCACCAAGGCGACGAUGCGUAGCCGACCUGAGAGGGGGAGCGGCCACACUGGGACUGAGACACGGCCCAGACUCCUACGGGAGGCAGCAGUAGGGAAUCUUCCGCAAUGGACGAAAGUCUGACGGAGCAACGCCGCGUGAGCGAAGAAGGCCUUCGGGUCGUAAAGCUCUGUUGUUAGGGAAGAACAAGUACGAGAGUAACUGCUCGUACCUUGACGGUACCUAACCAGAAAGCCACGGCUAACUACAUGCCAGCCGCCGCCGUAA
Molecule: ribosomal RNA, 511 nt
Filed under: uncultured bacterium
Lineage: Bacteria
Description: partial 16S ribosomal RNA
Rfam family: Bacterial small subunit ribosomal RNA
Source: RNAcentral